CCGGGUAGAAUAGCGCUGGAACCAUCAGGAAGAAAAAAGGAGGGGGUGCCUGGGCCCUGGGGAGCAGGCUGUGGCCAGGCCUUGCCGGGCAUCCCCUGUGGCCAGCAUAAAGGAAGGGCUACAAGAAGAGGGGCCCUUGGCGGGGCUGAAGGCCAGGCCUGGCUCUGCCCACCUCCAUGCCAGGGAACACCUCUCAGUGUUCCCAGGAGCUUUGGGGAGUCACCAUGGCCCCAGGGCCCAGCUCUGUGCCCCUGGUAUCCGGAUCUACUCAGAUCAUCUCUGGCAGGUAAACAUGGAGGGCGUUUGACACAAGCUAACAGAAGCCACCGCUGGAGCACCCGUCCCCAUCCUGACUUGGUCUCCUCUCUGGGUCCGUCCUGGUCACUGUUUCUCUUCUUCAAGGUUCGGCAGACAACAAGCCUCUUUUAGGAAGCAAAAAUAAUCAAUGUCUGCAUAGCUCUUCCCCCAUGAGGGGCUGGGCUGGAUAUGAACCUAACUCCACCUAAGAUGCUGGACCAGUGCCAAGCUGUACGUGUGCAGCACCAUGUCCCUGAAAAUGAACUGGUGACAGACUAUGAUGCUGCAUGCCAAGACCUCUAGAUGACGAAUAAAGGAAGCACACUGUGUACUGCUUUGUGGUCCUUCAGGAGGACCAAGAGCACACAUCAUAUUGUAAGAAACACUGUCUGCUUGUCACCCCUGGCUAAAUUUACAAAGGUUUUAUAAAAUAAAUUUAAAAAGUAGUCACUGCAUGAACAACAACAAAAGAAUAUAAAAAUAGGCUCAAUGUCACAUUCAAUGCUGAGAACUGCCCUUGCUACAAUAUCAGUGCCUCUUGCAGAGGACCUGGGAUUAGCUCCCAGGCCCCAAAUGGUGGCUCACAACCACCUGUAACUCCAGUCCAGGGCAUCUGGACUCUUCAAACGUCCACUGGCACAAGUAUACAAGAAUUCCACAUACAUACAUACAUACAUACAUACAUACAUACAUACAUGUAAGACAGUCAUAUAAAAUAAAAUCAACAGAUUAACAGAUUUCAGGAAGAAAAAGGGGACUUUGGAAGCUUUGGAAGUUGAAGUACAUGUAUUUGCACUAAGCAAGAGCCAGAGCCUACAGGGCCACAGGUGGAGUGCUAUGGUUUGGAUGUAAAACCCCGUAGGUUGGUGUUUCUUGGUCCCAAGCCUGGCACUGCUUUGGGAGGCUGUGGAACCUUUGGCUGUGAGGUCCAGCUGGGGAAUGUCAGCCAAGAUGGACAGCCCAUGGAGGUUGCAGACCGAUCUUCCAACCUGAGUUGUGCUUUCUGGUAAAAGGGAGCUGUAAGACCCUGCCACAGGCUAAACUGCAUCACCUCACCAUCUCUGCCAGAAGGAUGGACUGCAUUCCUGGAAAACAGUGAGCCAAAUAAAUCCUUGUGACCUUUAAAACAAUGUUAUUCCAAGUCAGGUUUGAAAAUGUAGGCUGUGCUAUCACGGUCAGCACCAACAGUAAAAAUGUUCAACAGCAGCUUUGUCUGAAGGCGUCCGAGUCCAUGCAGUCGUCUUCCUUGGUGCCAUUAAGGAGGCUCCCUGCCUCAUAGCACAGGGCUCCUUAACCACAAACUCAUUGAACAAAGAAUGAAAUCUGAUGGAUUGGCUGCUUCUUAUUUACACUAUGACUGAAACGACAGCCCAGGAUUUAACUGCCUUUAUUUUACGCUUAAAAUAUACAUAUAAAAUGGGGGUGGGGGAGAUUAGCAGAAAAUAAUUAGACGUGCCAAAACACUUGAAAUUCUAGCCACAGCUAAAAUCAAUAGUAAAGGACCAACUACUGUUGGAAAGAGAUAACUACAAGAAAAGUCAGGUUAAAGCCUAAAUGAGUUUCAUCUCAUUAGCUUCAAAACUGUGUAAAGUGAUCUUCAAAAAAACCAGCAUCCACAGUUGUCAGGUCCACUGCCACACACGGGUGGGUGAGUCUGAGAAA
Long non-coding RNA from Mesocricetus auratus (golden hamster), 1959 nucleotides. RefSeq lists it as uncharacterized. Lineage: Eukaryota; Metazoa; Chordata; Mammalia; Rodentia; Cricetidae. The transcript has 3 exons. The record is from RefSeq and is a predicted model, not a curated record.